AACGAACGCUGGCGGCAUGCCUAACACAUGCAAGUCGAACGAGACCUUCGGGUCUAGUGGCGCACGGGUGCGUAACGCGUGGGAACCUGCCCUUAGGUUCGGAAUAACUCCCCGAAAGGUGUGCUAAUACCGGAUAAUGUCUUCGGACCAAAGAUUUAUCGCCUUUGGAUGGGCCCGCGUUAGAUUAGCUAGUUGGUAGUGUAAAAGCCUACCAAGGCGACGAUCCAUAGCUGGUCUGAGAGGAGGACCAGCCACACUGGGACUGAGACACGGCCCAGACUCCUACGGGAGGCAGCAGUGGGGAAUAUUGGACGAUGGGCGAAAGUCUGAUAAAGCAAUGCCGCGUGAGUGAUGAAGGCCUUAGGGUUGUAAAGCUCUUUUAGCCGGGAUGAUAAUGACAGUACCGGGAGAAUAAGCUCCGGCUAACUACGUG
RNAcentral lists this ribosomal RNA (433 nucleotides) under uncultured bacterium. Its description in RNAcentral is "partial 16S ribosomal RNA". It matches the Rfam family "Bacterial small subunit ribosomal RNA", at positions 29 to 507 of the family's 1533-position model. The record is from RNAcentral.